AAUUUAUAAAACUGAGAGGUGCUUUGUUCGGUAUUUGCCUUUUGUAUGAACUAGUAUGGCCAUGUGGACCGAGCUUCAAACAAGCUUGAGAAAUCUGGAUAAGUUAUUGCUAUUGCAAGAAGCAACGAUCAGUAUGGCGUGGACUGAGCUGAUCAAUGGCAGCAGUAGGCCAAUAGCAGUUUCAAAUCAGUCGGAGGACCGCCGACGGCGAAGACGCGGAAAUACGAGGAGUCCAGGAGGACCUCUGACCGUGAGGCCUUGCCGCCUUGCCGGCCAAAACCCACGAACAUGCGCUGCGCGGCUGCCGGCCGCCCCCUGCUACGGUUAUCCGCCGCAGAACAUCCGCCGGCGAAUCCAGGGGUCCAGGCCCAAGCAAAUCGCCGCUUUGUCACCGGAUCGAGGAAGGGGAUAUUGGAGGGCAAGUGCGGGGGAGAACCAGAGGAGGAGUGGAUGUCCAUUCGCCAUGCGGAGGCGGCCGUCGCCGGCGCCGGACGGGAAGGAUCCAUGGGAUAGCGAAAUCGGGGGUUUUCUGAAAAAUUAUCUAGGAGGUCGUAUUACACUUAACCCCCUGAAUCGGAUCGCGAUUCAUAAUCGCGAUCCGAUUUAGGGGGGUUUAUGAAAAUGUUUGGAUCCGGUUUAGUGGGGUUUAUGUAAAUAUUUGGGUUCCCUGCAAAUUGCGCCUGCCUCCGCAGCUGCUCGCUGCCCCGCCGUCGCCAUGUCCUCCGCCGCCGCCCGAGCCCUCAAGUCCGUCUCCCGCGCUGCCUUCUCCUGGAAGCCCGUGAGCCCACGGGGUGGCCGCGGCAAACGCUGGUGGCAGCCGUGAGCAGGUCCGGCGUGGGGCUCCACUCGGGCGCGCGCGUCACAGCCACGCUAAUCCCGACGGCAAGGAUUGGUAUUUCCUCGUGGAUGGUGUCGGCGGCGGAGGUGGGGAAUGCUGAUUGCUGAACCACGGUCGCAGCUCUACACGACGCUUCGACAGGGCGAAGGCGGGGCCCGCGAAUCCGCACGGUGGAGCACCUUCUCUCUGCGAUGGAGGCGCUCGAUGUCGACAAUAGCCACGUCGAGGUCAGCGGCGGCGAGCGCAAGAGUGGGUUGUUGGCAAUACGAAGCGCAGGUUUGUGUGCAGCCGAGGAUACCAGUGGGCAAAUCUUGGAGAAACUGCGCCCCCAAAUUCGUGAACCUGUUUACUUGCAGAGAGAUGAUUGCUUCGCAGCUGUAUUCCCUAGCUUGCAAAUCCACAUCACCUAUGGAAUGAUUUCCUGAAGGCUGGUCAUGCCGCUGCACACUAAUUUCCUGAGCCAUCUGUCUGGAAAGAUCACCGUGGACCAAGAAGAGCUUGCUGGACAAUGCUGAAAUGUACGGCUCCUAUUCAUUGUAGUAUGCUGAAAUCCUAGAUCUUUGCACGUUAUUGAUGAAAUGGAGAUCAGUUCGAUGCUGGACUUGCCCUGCUUUCUAGGACUUGAGUUUGGUUUCAACUUUGAGUCUGAUGGCCAAGACGGGUGUCAAGAACACGUUGCUAUUUAUGUAUUCUGAUGUAAUGAUUAAGACAAUGACAAAAUUCUAAGUCGGUAGGGUACUAUAACUGGAGUAAAAAUAUGUGCACAGUUCUUUUCUCCAUCUUUUUCUUAGUUAUUUUCUUUUUUGUAUUUAUGAUUAGUUUUCUUUUUUUGGCCAUUUCUUCGUAUUUUCAGCAGGCUGGUACAUAUCAAUGACCUUCUUUUGUUACUAGUUGAGAA
Long non-coding RNA from Panicum hallii, 1736 nucleotides. RefSeq lists it as uncharacterized. Lineage: Eukaryota; Viridiplantae; Streptophyta; Magnoliopsida; Poales; Poaceae. The transcript has 5 exons. The record is from RefSeq and is a predicted model, not a curated record.